This 772-nucleotide ribosomal RNA is filed under the name uncultured Neocallimastigales. RNAcentral's name for it is "partial large subunit ribosomal RNA". The stretch from base 4 to 661 matches the Rfam family "Eukaryotic large subunit ribosomal RNA", at positions 24 to 664 of the family's 3401-position model. The record is from RNAcentral. Lineage: Eukaryota; Fungi; Neocallimastigomycota; Neocallimastigomycetes; Neocallimastigales.
GUACACGCUGUGACUAGCAUAUCAAUAAGCGGAGGAAAAGAAACUAACAAGGAUUCCCUCAGUAACGGCGAGUGAAGCGGGAAGAGCUCAAAUUUGAAAUCUUGAAAGGUCACCUUUCACGAAUUGUAGUUUAAAGAAGUGUUUUCUGUUACGAUCGUAAUAUAAGUUCUUUGGAAUAGGACAUCACAGAGGGUGAGAAUCCCGUCUAUGAUUGCGAUUUGUAGCUUUGUGAUACACUUUCAAAGAGUCGGAUUGUUUGGAAAUGCAGCCCAAAACGGGAGGUAAAUUUCUUCUAAGGCUAAAUAUUGGCGAGAGACCGAUAGCGAACAAGUACCGUGAGGGAAAGAUGAAAAGAACUUUGAAAAGAGAGUUAAAUAGUACGUGAAAUUGUCAAAAGGGAAGCGUUUAACACCAGUGUUGUUUUCUGAAAAUCAACCUCUGUUAGCUUUAUGCAUGUUUGUUUAGACCUAAUCAGCUAUCUUUCAUGUUCUAUUGUUUGCAGUGGUGCACUUUUCAGUUUACAGGUCAACAUCAGUUUUUUUUACCGUAAAAAAGUUAAAGAAAGGUAGCUCAUGGCUCCGGUCGUGAGUGUUAUAGUCUUUUUCCUAUGCGGUAGGAGAGACUGAGGUCUGCAGUGUAGGCUAUUUGGCUAGAUACUCAGGUGCUAUGUGGAUAUCAUUUCAUAAACAACUUGUUGAUUAUGUUUUGUCUAUUGCAUACUCGCUUGUACUAUCAUACCUACGCUUAGGAUGUUGAGUAGCGACAUACGCAC